CUGAAUUUGGAUUGUAAUUAAAUAUUUGACACAGCAUAGGUUUCUGACACAGAAUGAAUGUGGUCUAAGAACAAUAAAAAUUUAUUAAAUUGGACAUUCACCUAUUAUGGUCCAAUAUCCAAAAUCUAAAUACAUGGUUAGAUUCAGCAUAUCAAAGAACCCCAAGAAUUCAAUUUUUGAUGAAAUCAAACAAAGUUUAAUUUUGGACCCUUUUU
Mytilus californianus (California mussel) is the source of this 215-nucleotide long non-coding RNA. RefSeq lists it as uncharacterized. NCBI's taxonomy places the organism in Eukaryota, Metazoa, Mollusca, Bivalvia, Mytilida, Mytilidae. The record is from RefSeq and is a predicted model, not a curated record. The transcript has 2 exons.